GUACACGCUGUGACUAGCAUAUCAAUAAGCGGAGGAAAAGAAACUAACAAGGAUUCCCUUAGUAACGGCGAGUGAAGCGGGAAGAGCUCAAAUUUGAAAUCUUAAAGGGUUUCCCUUUACGAAUUGUAGUUUAAAGAAGUGUUUUCUGUUAGAGUUUCGGUAAAAGUUCUUUGGAAUAGGACAUCAUAGAGGGUGAGAAUCCCGUAUUUGACCGUUAUUUCUAGCUUUGUGAUACACUUUCAAAGAGUCGGAUUGUUUGGGAAUGCAGUCCAAAAUGGGUGGUAAAUUUCAUCUAAAGCUAAAUAUUGGCGAGAGACCGAUAGCGAACAAGUACCGUGAGGGAAAGAUGAAAAGAACUUUGAAAAGAGAGUUAAACAGUACGUGAAAUUGUCAAAAGGGAAGCGUUUGACACCAGUGUUGUUUUUCUGAAAAUCAAUUAAAGAACUGUUUAUGCUAAGUUGUUUAGACUUUAUCAGCCAACUGUUUAGUUUUGAGCUUUUCUUUAAUGCACUUUUCAGUUAACAAGUCAACAUCAAUUUCUUUUGCUGUAAAAAAGCUUGAGGAAGGUGGCUUGAGAUUCGUCUUAAGUGUUUAUAGCCUCUUGCCUAUGCAGUCGGAGAGAUUGAGGUCUGCAGCGUAGAUCCUUCGGGGCUAAAUGCAUUUGUGCUAAGUUAUAGCAUUUUAUAGACAACUUGUUGACUAUGAUUAGUCUUGUAGCUUACUCGCUUAUGCUAUUUUACCUACGCUUAGGAUGUUGAGCGCAUGUCUCUCUCU
Molecule: ribosomal RNA, 774 nt
Filed under: uncultured Neocallimastigales
Lineage: Eukaryota; Fungi; Neocallimastigomycota; Neocallimastigomycetes; Neocallimastigales
Description: partial large subunit ribosomal RNA
Rfam family: Eukaryotic large subunit ribosomal RNA
Source: RNAcentral